UUUUUUUUUUUUUUUUCCCCGGGACACGGCUCACUCUGUCACCCAGGCUGGAGUGCUGUGAUCUCUGCUCACUGUAGCCUCAACCUCCCAGGCUCAAGUGAUCCUCACAACUUCGCCUCCCAAGUAGCUGGCAAACAGUUGUGCACCACCACACCCGGCUAAUUUUUAUAUUGUUGUUGAGAUGGGAUUUUGUCAUGUUGCCCAGGCUGAUCUCAAACUCCUGGGCUCAAGCCAUCUGCCUGCCUGGGCCUCUCAAAGUGCUGAGAUUACUUGCAUGAACCACCAUGCCUGGCCAACAAUAGCUAUUUUAUCAAAAAUAUACAAAAUGAAAGGAAGCUGCUGGGCACUUUAUGUACACUAUCUUAUUUAAUCCUUACAGCAAUCCUAGGAUACAGGUUUGAUUAUUAUGCCCAUUUUACAGAUAUAGAAACUGAGUCUCAGGUAGGCAAAGCAACUUGCCUGAGGCCACAGAGCUGAUAAAUGCUGAAACUCAAAUCCCAGCUCCACCCUGAGGCUGGUGGACCUCCAAGUCCUUGAUCUCAACCUCUGCACCCAGUUCUACAACCAGAUAGGUGUUCAGGAGAUCCAUCACAGGCAGUGGGUAGGUGAGGAAGGCUUAGUUACUGGGGCUCCUCAGAGAGGUGCAUACAACCAGGGAAGCUCAAAGCACUACAGGGACACUGGUCUGAGUGUCAGGAGCCUGGGUCCAGGUCCUGGCUUUGCCUCCUCCCAGCUGUGUGUCCUUGCUUAUGUUGCCUACCCUCUCUGCACCUUUAUUUCCCCAGCUGUGAAAUGGGUUGGUAAUAGAUUCACCCUCCAAGCCUGGUGUAAGAAGGAAGUAUGAUAAUGUCUGUGAACAUGGUUUGAGGCCCUGAAGCACCACGCUUAGUGCAUUAUCAUCCAUUUCCUGAACUUCUAGAAUGAGUGAACAGUGAGAGAAUCAGGAACAGCAUCGGGAGAAGGAGGAGAGGAAAGUGUUGGAUCAGGCUUUCUCUGGGUACAGAGAGGCAGGUAAAUGUCUUGCUCAGCCAACCUCACAUGACAAGAGGAACCUGCUAACUAGGUCACCUUGCAGGAGGAAAGAGCUAUUCCGGGAUCCGCCUGCAGUUGCAGAGCAGGAGCUGGGGAGCUGAGCUGGCUAUUUCAGGGGUGGCACAGAAAGCUCAUCCAACAGCUCUCCCUUGGAUCUCGGCCCUGCCUUGGGCCUUGGGCCUUAAGAGGCCGGGAGAUUCUAGUGGACACUGUGCUGGCACUCUCUGCAUGGCUGCCCUCAGGCAGGGGGAUCCAUCAGGCCAUCUGGAACGAUCACAGCACGAUCUUCCCCAUCCCCUGGGAACCACCAUCGCAGGCAGCUGUG
Molecule: long non-coding RNA, 1357 nt
Filed under: Macaca fascicularis (crab-eating macaque)
Lineage: Eukaryota; Metazoa; Chordata; Mammalia; Primates; Cercopithecidae
Description: lncRNA (ENSMFAG00000052201.1)
Source: RNAcentral